RNAcentral lists this unclassified non-coding RNA (303 nucleotides) under plant metagenome. Its description in RNAcentral is "partial contains 5.8S ribosomal RNA, internal transcribed spacer 2, and large subunit ribosomal RNA". The stretch from base 1 to 105 matches the Rfam family "5.8S ribosomal RNA", at positions 50 to 154 of the family's 154-position model. The record is from RNAcentral.
GAAAUGCGAUAAGUAAUGUGAAUUGCAGAUUUCAGUGAAUCAUCGAAUCUUUGAACGCACAUUGCGCCCGCCAGUAUUCUGGCGGGCAUGCCUGUUCGAGCGUCAUUUCAACCAUCAAGCCCCGCGCUUGUGUUGGGGACCUGCGGCUGCCGCAGGCCCUGAAAACCAGUGGCGGGCUCGCUGUCACACCGGGCGUAGUAGAUUUUAUCUCGCUCAGGGCGUGCUGCGGGUUCCGGCCGUUAAAAAGCCUUUUUUACCCAAGGUUGACCUCGGAUCAGGUAGGAAGACCCGCUGAACUUAAGC